UCCUGGCUCAAGACGAACGCUGGCGGCGCGCCUAACACAUGCAAGUCGAACGAGCGAGAGAGAGCUUGCUUUCUCCAGCGAGUGGCGAACGGGUGAGUAACGCGUGAGGAACCUGCCUCAAAGAGGGGGACAACAGUUGGAAACGACUGCUAAUACCGCAUAAGCCCACGGCUCGGCAUCGAGCAGAGGGAAAAGGAGCAAUCCGCUUUGAGAUGGCCUCGCGUCCGAUUAGCUAGUUGGUGAGGUAAUGGCCCACCAAGGCGACGAUCGGUAGCCGGACUGAGAGGUUGAACGGCCACAUUGGGACUGAGACACGGCCCAGACUCCUACGGGAGGCAGCAGUGGGGAAUAUUGCACAAUGGGGGAAACCCUGAUGCAGCGACGCCGCGUGGAGGAAGAAGGUCUUCGGAUUGUAAACUCCUGUUGUUGAGGAAGAUAAUGACGGUACUCAACAAGGAAGUGACGGCUAACUACGUGCCAGCAGCCGCGGUAAAACGUAGGUCACAAGCGUUGUCCGGAAUUACUGGGUGUAAAGGGAGCGCAGGCGGGAAGACAAGUUGGAAGUGAAAUCUAUGGGCUCAACCCAUAAACUGCUUUCAAAACUGUUUUUCUUGAGUAGUGCAGAGGUAGGCGGAAUUCCCGGUGUAGCGGUGGAAUGCGUAGAUAUCGGGAGGAACACCAGUGGCGAAGGCGGCCUACUGGGCACCAACUGACGCUGAGGCUCGAAAGUGUGGGUAGCAAACAGGAUUAGAUACCCUGGUAGUCCACACCGUAAACGAUGAUUACUAAGUGUUGGAGGGAUUGACCCCUUCAGUGCCGCAGUUAACACAAUAAGUAAUCCACCUGGGGAGUACGACCGCAAGGUUGAAACUCAAAGGAAUUGACGGGGGCCCGCACAAGCAGUGGAGUAUGUGGUUUAAUUCGACGCAACGCGAAGAACCUUACCAAGUCUUGACAUCCUGCGACGCACAUAGAAAUAUGUGUUUCCUUCGGGACGCAGAGACAGGUGGUGCAUGGUUGUCGUCAGCUCGUGUCGUGAGAUGUUGGGUUAAGUCCCGCAACGAGCGCAACCCUUACUGUCAGUUACUACGCAAGAGGACUCUGGCAGGACUGCCGUUGACAAAACGGAGGAAGGUGGGGAUGACGUCAAAUCAUCAUGCCCUUUAUGACUUGGGCUACACACGUACUACAAUGGCGUUAAACAAAGAGAAGCAAGACCGCGAGGUGGAGCAAAACUCAGAAACAACGUCCCAGUUCGGACUGCAGGCUGCAACUCGCCUGCACGAAGUCGGAAUUGCUAGUAAUCGUGGAUCAGCAUGCCACGGUGAAAAAGAACCCGGGCCUUGCACUCACCGCCCGUCA
This 1362-nucleotide ribosomal RNA is filed under the name uncultured bacterium. RNAcentral describes it as "16S ribosomal RNA". It matches the Rfam family "Bacterial small subunit ribosomal RNA". The record is from RNAcentral.